AGUGAACGCUGGCGGUAGGCCUAACACAUGCAAGUCGAACGGCAGCACAGGAGAGCUUGCUCUCUGGGUGGCGAGUGGCGGACGGGUGAGGAAUACAUCGGAAUCUACUCUGUCGUGGGGGAUAACGUAGGGAAACUUACGCUAAUACCGCAUACGACCUACGGGUGAAAGCAGGGGAUCUUCGGACCUUGCGCGAUUGAAUGAGCCGAUGUCGGAUUAGCUAGUUGGCGGGGUAAAGGCCCACCAAGGCGACGAUCCGUAGCUGGUCUGGGAGGAUGAUCAGCCACACUGGAACUGAGACACGGUCCAGACUCCUACGGGAGGCAGCAGUGGGGAAUAUUGGACAAUGGGCGCAAGCCUGAUCCAGCCAUACCGCGUGGGUGAAGAAGGCCUUCGGGUUGUAAAGCCCUUUUGUUGGGAAAGAAAUCCAGCUGGUUAAUACCCGGUUGGGAUGACGGUACCCAAAGAAUAAGCACCGGCUAACUUCGUGCCAGCCGCCGCAGUAA
Molecule: ribosomal RNA, 506 nt
Filed under: uncultured bacterium
Lineage: Bacteria
Description: partial 16S ribosomal RNA
Rfam family: Bacterial small subunit ribosomal RNA
Source: RNAcentral